UGUCAUACAUGACUUGUAUUAUUUUGAGCUCCCAGACUUCAUCCUGCUUCAGCUCCUGUCAUCCUGUGCUGUGGAAUUCCUAAACCUCUUAGCUUGAGCCCUGCAACGAUCUGAUUUUCACUCCGUUCUAGGAAGGUUCCAUUCUUCAGUGUGGAGCACAUAUAAGUAUGCAUCUAUAUUGGAGAAAUGAAUGCUAAACAAACGAGGAGGUGGGGCCUUUGAGAGGCCAUUAUAUCAUGAAGGCAGAACACUCAGGAAUGGGGUCAGUGCCGUUAUAAAAGAUGCCCUGGAGAGACCUUUUGUCCCUUCUACCAGAUUGGAAAAGCAUUGGAAAAUUUGUCCAAAGUCACUCAACAGAUUCAUGAUGGAUCCUGGAUUCACAGCCAGCUUUACUUGGCAAUAAAAUUCAAGUCCUGUUCACAUCACAACACAUUUUUACCGAAAGAAAAAUAUGAUGUGUAGAUGUUUGGAGGCAUCCUAUCUUAAUGAGGCUUUUGUUAGAAAGAGUUUUCUUAAAAUUACAGGGUUGGGGAAAUAAAAAAUGUUUGUUGCUCAGAUUAACAAAAAAAUGGUAUAUAGAAAAUAAAGCUAAGAAAGGAAAGUGCAGACAACCAAGAGACUAGAAUUUUCAAUAAAUGGCAAAAUUGUGGUGUUCUGUGGUUACCUCUUGAAGAUUUGGCCUGAAUCAUGCAACAAUUGCCCCUUACCCUCAGUCCUCAAAUUACAAUAGUGAAAGAGGUUUCUAUAGGUAUUAUAUUUGAAUCUGCUAUAUUUUGUUUAUUACUUGCAAGGACAUAUAGGAGAGCAAAAGUUUUCCCUCUAAUUUCUUAGGUUUAGUAACUGGAACUUGUGAAUUAAACUGGCAAAAUACAGAUUAACAGGAGAAGAGUCAUAGACAUUUUAUUUUAAAUUUCAUAUGCAAUGUAGUUCCAGAGAAAAGAAGUGAAAGCCUGAAGAAGCAAUUAGACUUGAGGAGUUAUAUCUUUAACAAAGGGUGGUGAGUGUAGAGAAGUGACUAGAUUUUUUUUAAGAUGGUUUUAGGCUUCCAAGGGUGAUAAACCAUGGGAAGGAAAAUACAUGAGGGAAACUAAUGGUAUAUAGGAGUUAUUUAGUAAGGUUUGUUUACACAGACUAAUCUCAGUGGUAAGAACGGUUUUUCUCCUUUUUCUGGUCAGGGGAAGGAGAAGGGACACCAUCACAAUGGGAAUUUGUGCUUUGCUGGUAGACAAAUAGGAGCAGAGCAGAGAACUUCUUUCUCUCAAUUGUCUUCAGCUCAGAAUAAUCCUUAUGCCAAACAGGCAUAAUUUGGAAUUACAUAUUUUCAUCCUCUCCACACACAAGCUUCCGUAUAAAGUUCAAAGACAGUAGUAUUUUCUUAUAAUUCACUCUGCCCCAAAUAUUAACUAAGAUGACAUUCUUUUUCCAGCUUGAUUCUGCAACAUUCACUUCCAGAAACUUUAUCACUCUUAAUCCUGGAUUGAAGGAAAAUAUUUGAAUGUGAUAAAGGAUAUAUAUUUUAAAAAGAAAGGAACUAUAAUAAAAGGCAAGAUUCAGAAAUUAUGUUGUAAUCUGUGACUUAGUGCAAUUUAGUCCUUGAAUUUCUUGUGUGCAAUUUAUUGAAGCUAUCUUAUUAUAUGUUAAUUCUGUGUCUUCUUUGCCCUCUCUUUUUGUAAAAAUUUUCUUUUUCUGAAUUUUUUUCCAGAGUCAAUCAUUGAUCUUCUUGAUAACAUUCAUUUCCCUUGGUGAACUAACUUUGGUUCAUCGCUUUAUCAUUCUUCUCCAGGCUGUUUUUGAAGGGUCUGUGAGCUGAGAAUGGUUUUUAAUAGAUAAAUGCUCACAAUCAAUUUGGGGAUAAGAAAUAUUAUUUUGAAUCUCAGUUACAAAAAAUGUUAUCCUUCAUAAAAUAAUUCAUUUUUUUCUCAGUAAUAAAAAUGUAUUUCAAAAAUAUGGUGUCCUUAUUAUAUUUUAAAUUUUGCCAAUAAAAAUAAUAAAAAUUGAUUUUCUCUAAUUAUGUAAGUACCUAGAUGAUUUUUAAAAUUUUGUCUCUUGACUUAUACAAAGCCUAAAAUAUUUAUAACUGCC
This 2082-nucleotide long non-coding RNA is filed under the name Homo sapiens (human). RNAcentral describes it as "HSALNT0058134". Lineage: Eukaryota; Metazoa; Chordata; Mammalia; Primates; Hominidae. The record is from RNAcentral.